CUGCCCAGUGAUUUUUUAACGGCCGCGGUAUCCUGACCGUGCAAAGGUAGCAUAAUAAUUUGCCUCCUAAUUAGAGGCUGGAAUGAACGGAUUUACAAAAGUAUAGCUGUCUCCUACUUUUUCAUAAAAACUAAGCUUCAGGUGAAGACGCCUGAAUAAUACUAAAGGACAAAAAGACCCUGUUGAGCUUAACCUAAAGAAAAUAAUUAAUUUUAUAAAGGUUUAGUUGGGGCGACUAAGGAAAAAAUGAAGCUUCCAUAUAAAAAAGACUAUUUGUCCAAUCAAUGACCUGUCUUUAACAAUCAAAAGAAAAGCUACCACAGGGAUAACAGACUAAUCCUCCUCAAGAGCCCAAAUUGACAGGAGGGAUUGGCACCUCGAUGUUGGCUUAAGGUCCCCUUUAAGUGCAGAAGCUUAAAUGGUAGGUUUGUUCAACCUUUAAAACCUUACGUGAUCU
This 457-nucleotide ribosomal RNA is filed under the name Lumbrineris cf. japonica HZ-2010. Its description in RNAcentral is "partial 16S ribosomal RNA". It matches the Rfam family "Bacterial large subunit ribosomal RNA", at positions 1859 to 2606 of the family's 2925-position model. The record is from RNAcentral. Lineage: Eukaryota; Metazoa; Annelida; Polychaeta; Eunicida; Lumbrineridae.